RNAcentral lists this ribosomal RNA (728 nucleotides) under uncultured Glomus. RNAcentral describes it as "eukaryotic LSU rRNA". It matches the Rfam family "Eukaryotic large subunit ribosomal RNA", at positions 38 to 615 of the family's 3401-position model. Lineage: Eukaryota; Fungi; Glomeromycota; Glomeromycetes; Glomerales; Glomeraceae. The record is from RNAcentral.
CGAUAUCAAUAAGCGGAGGAAAAGAAAAUAACAAGGAUUCCCUCAGUAACGGCGAGUGAAGCGGGAAGAGCUCAAAUUUAAAAUCUGGCGUAAAAGCCCGAAUUGUAGUCUAAAGAGGCGUUAUCGGACGCGAGUCUGUCGUACAAGUUCCCUGGAAUGGGACAUCACAGAGGGUGAGAAUCCCGUCUGGGCGGUGGACUAGCGGCCAUAUGAGACGUUCUCAAAGAGUCGAGUUGUUUGGGAUUGCAGCUCAAAAUGGGUGGUAAAUUUCAUCUAAGGCUAAAUAAUGGCAAGAGACCGAUAGCAAACAAGUACCGUGAGGGAAAGAUGAAAAGCACCUUGAAAAGGGAGUUAAAAGCGCGUGAAAUUGUUAAAAGGGAAACGAUUGAAGCCAGUAGGGCUGUGUGUGUUCAGCGGUACCCGCGGAGCGAUGUUGUGAUGAGAGCACUUUACUGGGCCUCUAGCGGCAUGCGCAAGUGGACUGCCGUGUAUUCAUGCAUAGUUGGUCAGUCUCGAUUUGAACUGCCGGAAAAGGACUUUGGGAAGGUGGGCAUUCGCUUCGGCGCUUGUCUUUAUAGACCAUUGUAGAUACGGCGGAUUGGAUCGGAAAAGACAGUAGCUACCGGGCUUGGCGGAUCUGCGGUCGUGGACCUGCAAGACUCAAUUGAGGCUUGUGGGGCAUCUGGCUGGGAGAAGCUGGGCAAGACGCUACGGUGAGUACUGACGUA